CCUACGGGAGGCUGCAGUGAGGAAUAUUGGUCAAUGGCCGUAAGGCUGAACCAGCCAAGCCGCGUGAGGGAAGACGGCUCUAUGGGUUGUAAACUUCUUUUGUGCGGGGAUAAAGGUGUCUACGUGUGGACGUUUGCAGGUACCGCAUGAAUAAGGAUCGGCUAAUUCCGUGCCAGCAGCCGCGGUAAUACGGAGGGUCCGGGCGUUAUCCGGAUUUAUUGGGUUUAAAGGGUGCGUAGGCGGGUCUUUAAGUGAGCCGUGAAAUUUUGGGGCUCAACCAGGGGAGUGCGGCGCAUACUGUAGACCUUGAGUGCAGGUGCGGCAGGCGGAAUGCGUGGUGUAGCGGUGAAAUGCUUAGAGAUCACAAAGAACCCCGAUUGCGAAGGCAGCCUGCC
This 395-nucleotide ribosomal RNA is filed under the name uncultured bacterium. RNAcentral describes it as "partial 16S ribosomal RNA". It matches the Rfam family "Bacterial small subunit ribosomal RNA", at positions 338 to 730 of the family's 1533-position model. The record is from RNAcentral.